UACGAAGGGGGCUAGCGUUGCUCGGAAUCACUGGGCGUAAAGCGCACGUAGGCGGCUUGUUAAGUCGGGGGUGAAAUCCUGGAGCUCAACUCCAGAACUGCCCUCGAUACUGAUGAGCUCGAGUCCGGGAGAGGUGAGUGGAACUGCGAGUGUAGAGGUGAAAUUCGUAGAUAUUCGCAAGAACACCAGUGGCGAAGGCGGCUCACUGGCCCGGUACUGACGCUGAGGUGCGAAAGCGUGGGGAGCAAACAGG
RNAcentral lists this ribosomal RNA (253 nucleotides) under uncultured bacterium. RNAcentral describes it as "partial 16S ribosomal RNA". It matches the Rfam family "Bacterial small subunit ribosomal RNA", at positions 524 to 776 of the family's 1533-position model. The record is from RNAcentral.